AAUAAUUAUGUUUUGUUAUCAUUCUUACAUUGGUAGCUAUAAUAGAUUUAUUAUUCACAUCCCUGAGAAAAGCUCUCAUACUUGUUAGACUUUGGAGCUGCAGCUGUGUACAGACCUUGAAGCUGCAGCCACUUGUAUCUUCGGGAUACUCCUAUCUGCCUCCCUCCACAUUCCUUUUUCUACUUUCUACUUUGUAAUAAAAGAGAAAGCCCUAACAAAGGGUCUUCAGAGUGCUCAGUGAACGGCUGGAAGCAGCAGUUUGCUGGUUCUCUCCUUUUGCAAAAGCUUUCAUAAAAUUCACUUGCGUUGUCUGUUUGUCCUUCUAUUUAGAUUCACAAAUACCUAUCAUUUUGGUGCCGUGACCCGGAUCUCGCAUUUUGUUCGCUGACAGAUGAAGAACGACGCGCUGAAACCGUGCACGGCCAGAGUCAUUAGGACUUGGAGAGAAAGACUCAGGAAGUGAAUUCUUCGCCAGGCCAGCGCCUUAGGUCCGACUUUGCCUGCCAGCGGCGGGACUGCCGAGAUCCGACCGAACAGUCCAACUGGUUCUCCUCCCUGAGGUGCGUCUGACCUCUGACCUCAACUCAAACCAGUCUUGCCAUGGCCGAGAUGAUGUCCCUCCCCCCUCACCAGCUAAUGACAGUGAUAAAGAAGACAAAGAAGAGAUCUGCUGAUCCUAAUUUUCUGACACCAGGAACUGUCAUUGAGCAACUACUACAUGGAGUCCUGCUAGACAUUUGGUCUGAAACUACAUUCCUGUGUUUGGGUGCAACUGAACUCUUACAACCUCCACUGGUCUUCUCCCUGACAUCAGCGUGGAGAAGGAAGGAUAAUGUGCUUCAGAGACAACAAACUGAACUGUUUGACCCUUGUUUCAUUUGUGGACAGCAUGGACAUUGCGUGAGGGACAGCCUGCAGCGACGCCAGCAGCAGGAGGAGGAGGGAGAAAUGAGCUCAUCCAAGAUAAUAAGUGUUAUACACAUACACAACUGUUGUACACUGCUACUGCAAUGAAGACUUGCUUGCUUUAUAACCCUGUUCACAUAUUAUCUAGCCAGAAAAGAAAGUCUUAACGGCUUUUAUGUUCAAUGAUAGACAAAUUCUCUCAGUUUGUCCCUUUUAACUCUGAGUCCUGAACAGCAGGGCCACUGCUAAGGAUCCUCUUAGGGUCCAUGAGCCACAGGUUGGGAAACCGUGAAGAGAAAACUGCAAUCGCUAAAAGUUUAUCAAAGAACUAAUGGAAAUUAUGCCACUAAAUUACACCAGCUAAAAAUGAUCAAAGAUUCUAAGCUAAUAAUUAUUUACAAAAGUUUUCGUUUUCUUUUUGAGCAAAGGACAACAAUGAAAGCAGACUAUAAAUUUGUGGCUGAAAAUCUGAUUAAUUUUUAUGUUUUUGUUUGUCUCGCAUUACGUUGAUGGAAAUGAGUGUGAUUAUGGGAGCAAACAGAUUGCACUCAAGAACCGAGUAACUGAUCAAAUUAUUAUUUAAAUCAUAAAAAUUACUUUGUCAACUGGUCUGAAAUGCAAGGUUAAAUUAAAUUGUGAUAUUUUAUCUAACUAGUUACUCCAAAUUGAUGUUUGUGAAUGAACAUAAUGUUUUCUAGAUAACGCUUAAAACCUUUAAUCCAAGGUUGAUUGAUUGAUGAUCAUUAAAUUCAUAAAGGAAUAUUGAAUUAGAGGAUUUGAGAUUUUGGCUUAAUUUCAGAAUGGUAAUUUUCAUGUAAAAGGGUAAUAACAUUGUUCUGCAGCAGAGCCAACUCUGGGUUGUGCCUUCUGUCAGGAGUAAAACAAAAGUGCUUCACCUUGAUGAAUUUGAUAACAUCCAUAUGUAAGAUCUUUAACAAAAUGCCUCUUUGCUAACAGCUAUCCUUCAAGCAAUACAACUGCUAGCUAAAACUAGCAGGGUGCAAAAUGAAUGAUGAGGAAAUUUUUCAAGUCAAUAACAAACCAGUUCUCCCAAAGUCUUUAUCUAAAGCAGCCGCAAUUGUGGCACAUGGGCGAUGCCAUGUGUCAACAGGGGGAAUAGUGGGGAUAAUACUACAGUAUUUCACAACAUAUGGACUAAAUUCUUAUCUAAAAAUUUUUUGUUCUGCAUACUUUGUGUUAGACACAAUCCACAAGGGAACACAAGGCCAAAAGAGGAACUUUCCCAAAACCUUCUUAUCCAUUUCAAACAAUGCAAACAAAUAUUGUUUGGUAAUUAUUGAUGCUUUUUCUAAAUGGGUUGAAAUAGUUCUAGCAAAACAUCCAGAUGCUUUGACAGUAGCUAAAGCUUAUGUAAAACUAUUAUUCCAAUACCACAAACCAUCUAUACUGAAAAUUAGAUUAAAGAAAAUGUAUGGAACACCGUGGUUAAAAUGUUUAGAUUUGGUAAGGUUGUACAUGAGAAUUACACCCACACAAGAAGGAUUAACACCAUUUGAAAUAAUUCAUGGCACACCAUACAGAUUACCUAUAUUUUCACCAGAUUUGCAACAUGCAGAUGAGGAGCAAACACUGGCAGAUUACGUGAUCAGGACUCUGAAACAGAAGGAGGUGUCAAAUGCAAAUUUACUGCCCUCUGACUCUCCUCUCCCACAGGAAACCACUCCCACCAAGCCAGGAGACUGGGCGUUUAUCAAAGUCAUAAAGAGGAAGAGCUGGGCCAGCCCGCGGUGGGAGGGACCAUUCUAAGUGCUGAUAACAACUCUAACUGCUGUAAAGAUUGCUGAACGACCCAGCUGGAUUCAUCUCAGUCACUGUAAGUUGCAGAGAGUGUUGGAAGCCUAGGUGGGACCAGGUGGGAGUCCACCUUCACAGGGGUUUGGCUUUUUAGGGUCACUUGUCUCAACGGUGGUGAAGAAAUCAUCAACCCCCUGUUCUAUAGAGUCCUAGGUACAUUCUAACAUCUCUGUAAUCUGAGCAGCAAUGGGAUUCUCACAGGCCAGGUGGAAUCUCUGCUGCGCUGUGACUGCAGCAUGUUUUUUGUUCUGGAGUGGAAGCUGCCUCAGCCUCCACAAGAUAAGGAGAGAAGCACAAACACUCUUCCCCCAGUCUCAUCCACAUGACUGCAGCACUAACCUGUGGUGGCAACUAAUGAACAGGACUGCUCAUGAGGUGAACUGCUAUGUGUGUGCACAGCUGCCCUACGCCACACACAACUCAGGCCUUCGACCAGGUAACAUCACUGAUGACAAACAGAUGUGUCUCUAUGGCCUGAGCACACACCCAAGGUGCAGCAUCCCCAUACCAAAGGGCUGCAGAUGGUGCAAAAAGGACUAUUCUUUUUCACUUCGGACAGGAGCUGCCGCUAAAGGACUUUUUGGAGCUAUGAACUGUUGUUCACUUGCUGCUGAUGUUCUUCCAUUUCCACAGACUGUGAUGAGAAUACCAGAGACCAUUUCCUUGGCAGGAGCCGAACCAGGGUCUCUCAGGAGCUGCAUUUACAACACUGGAACUACAACACUAGGAAUGCUCCCAUGGAACCUGUGUAACACAGUUUACACCUUCUGCGAAACAACACUGGAAUUCGUCGCCUGCAGAGGUCAGGAGCCAACCCCAGAACACAGCAUCUGGAACGACAAUCCAAACUGUCACAAUUUGCUUCAGGAAAGGAGGUUCGUUCGACAUCACUCAGCAGACGAGAGGACGACAGAAGAAAGCUCGUUGCAGCGCCAUAGUGCCAGGAGACUAUGGUCAAUGGGUGAUGGCUGACUGGUACUUCCUGUGCGGACAUGGAGCUUACAUGUUUUUGAAAACCGUGUUGUAUUGGCUUUUCUCACAACCUCUCAAGGAAGCGUCUGCAAGAUCAUAGGUUCAACAUGAGAUGAAAGAGGAACUGGUGGAACUAUUCAUGAUGCCCUGCAUGAUUUGGAAGAGCUUAAGAACUAUGUGGACAGUGCAACUCAGGGCUCACAAACUUUUGACUUUCUUUCUUGGCUGACCUCCAGAAUCUGGUGGCAGCUUUUGUUUAAGAAACACCCAUCUUGACUGGACUGAUCCUAUUCUGUCUGUUCACAACCUGCAUCAUUUCAUGUUUUCAAAGCAUGCUGUUAAAGACAUUUAACACUGCUCUGCUCAGCUAUCAGUUGGUCAGGGUAAUCUCUGACACAGAUGAGGACUACAUGUUGCUCCAGAAGAAAGAAGAUGACUGGAAAAUGAGUACAUAUGAUGAUGUCUUGUAAAUUAAUAAACAGAUUAAAUCAUUUGCUUGAUGACUCCUACACUGAAAAUGUGAAAACAAAUGGUGUUAGUGAUGAUAACUGCACUUGAUUUUCUGCUGUUUGUUUGUUUUUGGGUUGUUGUUUUUUUCUGUGUUCUCAUUCUUACAUUCAACAUUAUUAUAUUAUUAACACCACAUUAUAUGCAUUUGGUUUUCAAUGUUUCUUUUACAUUUCUUUUUUCUAUCCUUCUUAUAUUAUAUAUUAUGUAUUCUUCAACUCUUGUAUAACAUGUGUCAUCCAUUCUUUUUCUUUUUAUACUAUUUUUUGCAUAGUUAUUACGUAAGAAUUAUAAACAGGGGGAAAUGUUAGAAUAAUUAUGUUUUGUUAUCAUUCUUACAUUGGUAGCUAUAAUAGAUUUAUUAUUCACAUCCCUGAGAAAAGCUCUCAUACUUGUUAGACUUUGGAGCUGCAGCUGUGUACAGACCUUGAAGCUGCAGCCACUUGUAUCUUCGGGAUACUCCUAUCUGCCUCCCUCCACAUUCCUUUUUCUACUUUCUACUUUGCAAUAAAAGAGAAAGCCCUAACAAAGGGUCUUCAGAGCGCUCAGUGAACGGCUGGAAGCAGCAGUUUGCUGGGUUCUCUCCUUUUGCAAAAGCUUUCAUAAAAUUCA
Long non-coding RNA from Poeciliopsis prolifica (blackstripe livebearer), 4812 nucleotides. RefSeq lists it as uncharacterized. The transcript is spliced from 2 exons. Lineage: Eukaryota; Metazoa; Chordata; Actinopteri; Cyprinodontiformes; Poeciliidae. The record is from RefSeq and is a predicted model, not a curated record.